RNAcentral lists this ribosomal RNA (483 nucleotides) under uncultured bacterium. RNAcentral describes it as "partial 16S ribosomal RNA". It matches the Rfam family "Bacterial small subunit ribosomal RNA", at positions 28 to 523 of the family's 1533-position model. The record is from RNAcentral.
GACGAACGCUGGCGGCGUGCUUAACACGUGCAAGUCGAACGAUGAUGCCCAGCUUGCUGGGUGGAUUAGUGGCGAACGGGUGAGUAACACGUGAGUAACCUGCCCCUGACUCUGGGAUAAGCGUUGGAAACGACAUCUAAUACUGGAUAUGAUCGCCGGCCGCAUGGUCUGGUGGUGGAAAGAUUUUUUGGUUGGGGAUGGACUCGCGGCCUAUCAGCUUGUUGGUGAGGUAAUGGCUCACCAAGGCGACGACGGGUAGCCGGCCUGAGAGGGUGACCGGCCACACUGGGACUGAGACACGGCGCAGACGCCUACGGGAGGCAGCAGUGGGGAAUAUUGCACAAUGGGCGAAAGCCUGAUGCAGCAACGCCGCGUGAGGGAUGACGGCCUUCGGGUUGUAAACCUCUUUUAGUAGGGAAGAAGCGAAAGUGACGGUACCUGCAGAAAAAGCACCGGCUAACUACGUGCCAGCCGCCGCAGUAA